CGAGGUAUCUCAAGUCACCGGCAACUACAAGAUCUGUGUAACUAUAAGAAAAAAUAUCAUAGUCCAGAAAUAAAAUACUAGGGACAGUCUGAGUAAGGUAAGAAGGAGAAGUGCAGGGCUGCGAACGCCAAGCAGCUACUUUGCCAACUCCGAAGACCUGCUGGAACAACGAUCAUCACUCACUAUCACAACCCGCAACACCUAGAUCUGCACAUAAGGUACAUGGAGUAAUGUGUGUACACCAACUCAGUAAGUAAUAAAAUUAAAUGAAAGAUGAGCAGUAAGAAAACAAAUAUUUCCACGUCAUAGCACUACAUCAAAUACAGUAAAUUUCCAAAAACAGUACAUAACUCAAUUAUCUCGUAAAACAACUCAGUUUUGGUAAAACCUUUUAUUUUAAAAACAUCUUCCAAUAGUUUCAAAUGAGUGAUGAAACACUGAGUAAAACUGAUAGAAACGUAAAUAGCCCUUCGAGUAGGACAUGUACCAUAAACCACCCCUCGGGCAAAAUAUCAACAGAACCAGCCCCUCGGGCUACCUCAUAAUCACUUGUAAUCAGCCUCUCGGGCAACAACAUGAAUCAAUAACAACCCCUUGAACAAAAUCACAUCACUCACACUGGGUCCACGCGCUCACUAGGGGUGUUAAGUCUCCGUAGGGGCUCCUACAACCCUAGCGCUAUCACAAGCCAUCUCGUGGCACAAUAAAUUAGGACCUUGGCCUCUCAUAUAUAAAAAAAGAGUACAACACGAUGCGCUACACAGCCCGAUCCCAUGAUAUCCUCACAACAGGGGCCCUCGGCCUCACUCAGUCAGAAUUCUCUCAAGCCACUUGGGGUAACAUUAAAACAGAGUGCUCAGCCCAAAAUAUUAUUUGUAGAAUCAAAAUAGAGUAAAUAAAACCGAGUUAUGAAAUCGGUAAAACAUAGCAUGACUUAGUGUAGAUAUUAAACCAAAACAGUGAGGAAGCAUUAGUAAAAAAUCCCUAAGGGUCCAAACAGUUGGCACGAGGCCCAAAUAUGGCAUUCAACCCAAAACAUAGUAAUACUUUUCAAAACACAAUAGUAUCAAAUAGUUUUCGAUCAAAUACAUACGGGAUGGACCAGGUCACAAUCCCCAACGGUGCAUGCCCCCACGCUCGUUAUCCAGCGUGUGCGUCACCUCAAAAUAGUAAAACAAUGUAAAAUCUGGGGUUUCAUACCCUCAGGAUAAUGUUUACAAUUAUUACUUACCUCAAACUGGUCCAAAAUCUAACCCGCAAUGCCUUUGCCUCUCGACUCGGCCUCCAAAUGCUCCGAAUCUAACAAAAAAUUAGUAUAUUGUCAUCAAUAUACACUAAAGGAACAAAGCCCAAGCGAAAUAAUCAAAUUAACUCAAAAAUUUCGAAAUUGGCUCAAACCCGGUCCUCGGGCCCACGCCCCAGAAUCCGUUAAAAAUCACAAAAUGGGAAACCCAUCCGCUCAUGAGUCUACCCAUAUAAAAUUCAACAAAAUCUGACAUCAAAUUGCAAUCCAAAUCCCCAAAAUCAACUCUCCAAAUCUUCUUCUACUUUCCCCAAUUUUCUUCCCAAAUUCCCAAAUUAAAUGAUAUGGAUCAAGACAUAAUCAUGAGAUUUAACCAAAUUUUAGUGAAGAACACAUACCCCAAUUAAUCCUCUGAAAAUCCCCUCCAAAAUCGCCUUCUUCCAAGCUCUCUAAUGAAUUUUGAAGUUUUGGACCAAAACCCUCGUUUUUUGAACUUAAACAUUCUGCCCAGGCAUUUCUUUCUUAGCGAACGCAACCGUCCUCUCGCAUUCGCAUAGACAAACUCAAAUUGCCUCUCUGCUUUACUCUUCGCGAACGUGACAAAUACCUCACAAACGCGAAGCUUCGCCAGCUCAAACCUUCGUGAAUGUGAUCCUCACCUUGCGAACGCGUAGACAAAAGACUCGGGGUCCCAACUACCUCACUCCUCUUUGCGAAUGCGAUACCACUCACGCGUUCGCGGUGCACUCUCUACCUUACCCUUCGCAUUCACAUUCACGUCAUCUCCUUCGCGAACGCAAUGAACAAAAACCCCUCUUCUCUCAAUAACCCCUCGCGAAUGCGAUACACUUCUCGCGAACGCGAAAAAGGAAUUCUCUACAACAAAAUACCAGAAAUCUGCCAACUUCUAAAGCCAAGAAUUGAUCCAUUAACCACCCGAAACUCACGUAAGGCCCUUAGGACCUCAACCAAAUAUGCCAAAACAUCAUUAAAGCUUGUUCCAACUUUCAGAACGCUCAAAACAACAUCAAAACAUCAAAUCACCAUCGGAUUCAAGCCUAAGGAUUUCCAAACUUCUGAAUUCCGCAAAUGAUGCAAAAACCUAUCAAACCUCAUACAAAUUACCUGAAAUUUCGCACACACGUCACAAAUAACACAAAGCACCUACUCAAAUUUCCGGAAUUCCAAUCCGAUCCCGAUAUCAAGUUUUCCACUGCCAACCGGAAAACGCAAAAAUUCCAAUUUCGCCAAUUCAAUCCUAAAUCUACCACGGACCUCCAAAAUACAUUCCGAUCACGCUCCUAAGUCCAAAAUCACCUUAAACGAUAUAUGAACCAUCAAAAUUCACAUUCGAGACCUUCUACCCAUAAGUCAAUAAUCGGUUGACUUUUUCAACUUAAGUUUACUCAAAAGAGACUAAAUGUCUCAUUCCUCUAAAAAAACCACUCUGAGCCUAAACAGACCAACACGAUACGAUGAAAUAUAGCUGAACAACACAUAAAGAAGCAGAAAUAGGGGAAACAGGGUCGUAACUCAUGAAACGACCGGCCCGGUCGUUACAUUCUCCCCUUUUUAAACAAACGUUCAUCCUCGAACAAGUCAAGAAACAUACCUGAAACCUCAAACAGGUGUAGUUAUCUUCUUCGCAUCUCCCGCUUGGUCUCCCAGGUAGCCUCCUCCACGGGCCGACAUCUCCACUACACUUUCACUGAAAUUGUAUCCUUUGAUCUCAACUUUCAGACCGGCCGCUCCAAAAUAGCCACUGGCUCCACAUCAUAAGUCAAAUCACCGUCUAACUAAACCAUGCUGAAAUCCAAGAUAUAAGACGGAUCACCAAUAUACUUCCAAAGCUUAGAAACAUGAAAUACCGAAUGCACACGGUUUACCGUUAAAAUGGUAAUAACAAUUAAAUUUGAUUAUGGGACUUUAAAAAUACAUGAUCUAUUUUUAUGCUAGUUGUUAAGCAGUUGAUGCUAUGCAUAUGAGACUUAGAAAUGAAAUGAUAAUUACGAAUAAGGUGAUAAUCAAACCGAUAGGUUGACAGUCGGGGCCUCGAGCUUGUCGAUUCGGGGGCCUCGAGGUCCAUUCCAGAGCUUGGCUGGGAGCUAUCGAGGGGGGUCAAAUUAUGGCUAACAAUUAUAGUGAAAUCAACGAAGGCUCUAUCAGUCCUUGCUGUGUACCUUGGGAACUCCCCAUUUCUAUCAUUAUCGUAAUCAUCACUACCCUGAGGUCGAGUGUCGACGACCCUCGAGGGAGGAUACUCGUCUGUGGCCUCGAGCCUUCGAGGUGAUCUUCCGAAGUGCCUUAAUGGCAAGAAACUAGACCCUUCGAUUUCACUGUAUACAAAUAGUCCCCGCAUUUCCUAGAACGAAGUGAUAGGAAACAAUUUUGAGCUUCCAUUUCGAAGGCAUCAUCACCGUGAUGUCAUCCUAUCAGAGCAUUAAAUGCCAUGCCCAAAAAACCAUGCAAGGGUCAUCGUCAAACGCGACUACCGAGAAGCCCACGAACAUCUAUUAGUCCAUCCCUUCCACUGCCCAUUCAGCUCCUAUAAAUGCACCAAUCAUUUGAUAGUUCUUACUUUCUCAACAUCUUCAAACUCGAAAAGCUAGAUCCAUUACCUUUCGUAUCCUGUCUUCUUACUUUCUUAGAGAAAUUUCAUCAUCAGCAUGGAUAGAACCUCCAAGACGGUUACUCGGAAAGAUGAGGUUGUUUCUUCAUCUCGAACAUCUAAAGGGAAACCCAAAGUGAUACCCACAUUGGGACAAUGUACUCCCAAUGAGCUUGACAUGUCGAAGGACUUUACCAUCGAUAAAACUUCAUCCGCACCGGGCCGAUGCGAACACGUGUCCCGAUAAAUUAGUGUCCUGACCAACAUAGGGACGGUAAAGAGAGACUACCGAUGGAGGGAGGCAGUGGAGGUGGAUAUUCCCAGCCUUGAUGAGAAUAUAACUGAUUACAAGGCUGUCUUCUUUCAUGUAUAUGCUUACCCAAUCACUUUGGGUCCUAUCGAUCCUUCUAAAUCCCCUCCCCCGGAGAUAGAUCCAGUUAUCCUAGAUUUUUGUAACAAAUAUCAAGUGACGCUUGGUCAAAUCUAUCCUUCUCUCUGGAGAAUAGUCUUGAUGCUCCGCCAUUUCUCCGAUGGGGUUGAGGGUGAGACCUUCACCCUCAACCAUUUGAUUAGGUUGUACAGUCCUCGAUUUUAUCGAGGUUUGAUUAGGCUUCACUACCAAUCCAAAAAAUCAUUUUACUCGAGCACCGACGAGGAGAAGGAUCGAGGGUGGAUGAGUAGGUUUGUUUGGGUGAAGACCUCGGACGUCAUUCAGGCCAGAAGGAUGAAGUGGAACACAUAGCGUAAGCAUUUUUUCCCUCGGACAUGUUUUGUGAUUUUAUUUCCUUUCUUCUAGAGAAAUGACCUCUUUUUGGUUUCUGCAGCUACCGCUUGGUAUCCCAAAGCGGUCUCGGAUCUGCCGGGAUGGAACGAGCAAUUGGACACCACGUUCCCAUAUCUUUAUCGAUCUUCGCCCGACCUGGCUAAGAAGCGAUGGGUGGCCAAGAAUCAUGGUAAUGUUUCCUUGCCACUUAUGUCUUAGAUUUAUGUUUCUCCAUGUAUCCUUUGUGCUGAUAAGUUACGGUCACUAUUCUUGUGCAGGCCUUCAGAGCCCGCCAAGGGAAAGAAAAGGAAAGGUAAGCCGGUUGCCGAUCCUCCUGUGGUAAAGAAACCUAAGUCACACGAGCCUCAAGACGUCACUAGGACCUCGACUUCAACUUUCGGAGCAAGCCCCGGUGCUGAGGAUGAGGACGGUGAUGAUGAUGAGGUCAAGUGUCAGUUGACACGGAGGACGAUGUCAGGUGUGGGAGCCUCGCAGGUGCCUCGACCGGAGGCUACUUAAUCAGGAACGGCUGACUCAGGUCGGUCCCAUGAAUCACAAACCCUCGAGGAGGGUAUCAAUGUGGUCCCCGAUCCCAUGACCGGAUUUGGUGUUGUUUCUGCUUGGGGGACCGUUGCCUAUGAUCCUAAAGGGUUGUGACUCGGAGAUUUUCAGGGGCAGGAGUUUCCCAUCGGAGACAUCGAUGAUAUAUGCGAUUUCAGUUUGGUCCCUUAGUUCUCGUCGGGGGAGUUGAGGGAUGCUCAGGACGUGAAUACCUCCAAAGCUGGGGGUCCUAUCAAAAGGGGGGGGGCGUUUGGCAACAUUCUUGAUGAUGUUAGCAAGAAUAUCAAUCUUGAUGCUCCCGGCACCGUCAAGGCAGCGGAGAGGCUCCAACAAUAGAAAAUAGCUAUUUUAUGCAUAUUUCCUUUAGUCUCAAGCAUUUUUCUUCAUUAUUCUAACUUUUUUGUUUUGCCGUAGUGUAAGGAGAUGUAUGAUCAUUCCCUUUCCAGGAUUCAUGAGGAGCUUUCAUGCCAUGAAAAGGAGCUUAAGAGGCUGACCUUGGGACUGCGAGAGUCGGAGGCUUACUCUGCUCGAAAGGAGAAAUAGUCAGACGAGCUCAGGGCUGCUUUGGAGGGAGCACUUCGAGAAAAAGUUGAUCUUGGUGAGCAGGUAUUUUCCAUGCAUGAAUUUGCACUUUAUUCCCAUAAUCCGAUACUAACUGUUUUACCUUUCCCCUUGCAGAUCAGGCAAAGGGAUUCACUGAUCGGGCAAAAGAAUGCGGAGAUCCUCAAGCUGACGGAACGAAACGAGGUGGCGGCCUCGGAGUUGGCAUCGACCAAUGAUCUUCUUUAAAAUGCUCGAAUGGAGGUUUAUGCGCAGACUACGGCCAAGUCCGAGAUCGAAGGAAAAGUUGCUACUUAUCUGUAGGAUACAGCCACGGCGAAUCAAAUAGCCUCUAAUAUAUUGAUAGAGGCUGAGUUGAAAAUGGCUUGGGCUAUCAAGCAUGAUAGAGCGAAGGCGAGGAGGGAAGCCUUGAAGGGGGUCAGAACUAGAGGUGGCGAUCUUUCAGCUAAGAUCGAGGAGUCCCGAGAGUUGGAGAGAAAGUCAGCGCUCUUGAUCACUCCAGAUGAGGAUCCUGGAGAUGGUUCGGAGGAUAGUGGCAAUGACGAAUAGACCUUGUGUCGCUUUGCCCUUUUUUUUUCCUUUUCUCUUUCUGUGCAUGUACCCUUGUAAAGACGAUCCUUGUAAAUAUAUUUUUGGCAAUGCAAGAGAGUUUUUCUACUCCAAGUCUUUCAAUUCAUUGUAUCUCGUUGCUCUUAUGGAGUUAUUCUUCGAAUUUUAAAAUUAACUCUUUGGAGCCCAUUCUUGGAGUAAUUGGGACCCCUGAAAUCGGGUCUUAUAUUGAAGUUAGGUUGAUAGCCUCUUUGGGGCCGAUGUUUGAGACAGCAAGAAGCUCCCGAGGUGUCGAUACCUCUCGACUUUCGUGGGGUAGCAGCAUUCAUGCGAUCUGAUAAAGGGAGCCCCGGGGUUACCCCGGGUAGUCCUGCCAAUACAUUUCCCAAGGAAAAGGUGACUUUACAAUGGCCAGAAUUAAUUGGCCCUCUAGGUAGGCGAGUAGCCACUGUUUUGCCCCUAUAUAUUCAUUCACUUGCUUCUCCAGUGGAAAUUCUACCACUCUAAGUAACUAUUUCUUCCAUAGGACUUGGUGCUUUGUGCUAGUUCUCCCGUCGUUUCAACUCAAAAUCUUUCCCCAAAUCUAUAUCCUCCUCCUCUUAUUUUAUCAUAGCCAUGAUUGCUACAUCGACACCGCCCAUCAAGGAGAGGGGAGUUCUACCUCUGUUCUGCAUCCGGUCGGUGGUACACUACCGGUGCCCGGUGAGCGGGCCUCGAGGUGUUUUGUCUCGAGGAGAGACUUUACGUUGGAGUGACCUCCCAACAUAUAAGGACAUCGGGAGCAUGCGUCGAGGUUCAUCUCAUCAGUAGGGGAGGAACACCUCGAAAUGAUCAGAAAAGACUAUGGAUGGGGAGAAAGAGUGGUGCUACAAGUACCUUCCUCUAAGGAGAGCAUCAUGACCUACGUUGAGGGGUUUUUGAGCCUAUAUACACACACGUUUACAUCGGGUCCCCCCGACCAGGUCGUGAUUGAGUUCUGUCGGAGAUAUCAGGUUACCUUGGCGCAGUCUCACCCAUCCCUUUGGAAGAUAGUGCAGAUGAUAAGAUACUUUAUAGAUAAUGUCGAGCUCGAAUUUACCCUCAGUUAUCUCAUGAGGUUAUAUCGACCGCUGCGUUAUUGGGGUUUGAUUACUCUGCAACAUCGAUCCACCGGAUCUCCUACUGUUGACGGUAAAGAAGACGAGGACCGAGAAUGGAUGAGCUGAUUCGUUCGAUCAUGGACAAUCGAUAUCAUUCCUGGAGAGUUUCUGCCCUUUCCUGAGAAAUAGAAUUUCACACGUAAGUGUCAAACCUAUAUUUUUAUCACUGUUUGGAGGCGGGAUCCAUAGCGACAUUUCUCUAUUUUAUUUUUUGUAGCGACUCCUUGGUUGCCGAACGAGGUCCCUGAUUUGACCGAGUGUUCUCGUAAGCUGGCAUCUUGUUCGACCUAUGAUAAGCAUCAGUGGCGUGACGUGUCCAAGGGGAGAUGGGAGGCAAAGCAUCAUGGUAGGCAUUUGGUGGCUUGUUUCCCUAGAAUUGUACUUUUCUUUUUAGCAUACUAGUUUAGCUGCCCGCAGGUAUUGGAGUUUUUUUUCGAGAUGAGGCCGUGCCCUAUGGGGAGGAGGAGAGACUAUUGACCUUGGGGUUGAGGGUUGAUGAUAAAUUAAAAGGGUCUCCGGGGUGUGAGGAGUCUCGCAGCGGGGCGAGUCCUUCUCAGCGGUUCAGAAGAGGCGAUUUGACUGAUCAUCCGGUUUCGGAGGCCUCCAUUUUCGAAAGAGCAUUACUCGUUUCUGCUGAGGGUACUUCGAAAGGAGAGGUGCACGUGGUGUCGCGCCCCCUUUUCCCUCCACGGAGAGAGGUCCGGGUUUCGACAUUCAUGGGGGGAACAACUCGUUUACUUUUGGGAAUUGGGUAUUUGAAGAGUUGCCACCUAACGGAUUAUAGUGCGUUAGGGCACCAAGAGUGAUUAACUCUUGGAUUAGUUUGCAUUACCAGAGAUUUAGGGUAAGGGCUCGAAAUAAUCUUGAGGGAAAGGUGUUAGGCGCCCCUCGCGGUCCAGAAUGGUGGGUCCUGGCCGAACAUAACUUGUAAAUCAGUCCAUUAACAAAUAAAUAGUUGAAUCAAAUAAUUUGCAAGUAAAGCACGUUGGACGUUGUAUAACUCAAACAAUAAAACAAAGAUUUUGAAAAAGUUGUAUACAUAUAAAACAAAGUUUUAAACAUAAGGGAUUUGGGAAAGGAAGGGUCCUAGGUUGGUUAGCUUAAAGGAUCACCCCAUACAAUGUCCUGUAAAAACUCCUCAAUGAGGGGCUACACGUGACACUAGUGCGUCUUCAUCAUAUCCCAUAUCUACCCUUCCCACCCCUUAGUGGUUAUUAAAGCGAGCGUUGGUUAGCGAUCUCUAUUGUGUUUUGUUACCCGUCCCUUGUUAUUGGUCCUGGAGGAAAUUUAGGACCUCUACCUAUAGGCAGUUCUAGACAGACCCCUAAGGUUUAAAGGUGAAAAUACUAAGGCAACAUGCAAGAACAAAUAGGACCUUAGCACAUAAGGCAUAAAAGAAGCAGUUAAAGGAUCAAGUUUACCUCAACAAACAACGCACAUAAGCAGCACGACUCAAAUAAAAAUAAGGGCCGUAUUGUUAAACGGUAUCUUGAGACAUGAUAACUACAUUUGAUAUAGUAAAAAUAGUGGGCAGAUUUUAAAAUAGACUCUUGAGUUCCUAUAGGCAUGCUUUCUAAUAGUAAAUUAGAGCAGUACUCGAAAUAAUUCAUUUCAGGGAAAACAAACCACUAAUUAGACCAGUUUCAAAAUAAACUAAUCAUAAACUGGAUUGACUUAUUUAAACUAAACCGAUUUUAGAUCUAUAGGCAGAAUUUCUUAUGUUAUUCUCUAUAGGCAUGAUAUCUAAUUGCUAAGAGCUGAUGUUAGAAACUUGUACGCAUGAUAACAAAUGGAAACACAUGUAAAAAUUCGUUAUAACAGAAGUUGAACUGGAUCAUAUUCUAUAAGCAUGGUAUCUACUUGUGAAGUUGAUUUUAAGACCUACAAACAUGAUUUAUAUUAUUGGAACCACUUGAGACCUAAAGGCAUGAUUUCUAACAUGGUAAGGAAAACAUAGCAAAUAUAGAAUCCUAUAGGCGUGGUUUCUACCCAUAUUACCCCACAAAUAUGUAACUACCUACCCCUUUUCACUAAUUACCCCAAUAUUCGUUUACAAAUUAUUACAAACCAUAUGAAUAAAUUACAUAAAUAGAUAAAAAGAAAAAUGAGAAGUUACACUAUAGGGAGACUGAAGUAGGCCCAAGUGUGUCACACCUCCAUUUUCUAUCCCCCGGAAGGGUAUAAGGAAGUUUUUCCCAAUUCAAGUGACAAUCGAAACGGAAUUAUUUAUUUAAAAUUCAGAGUCUCCACUUGGGAUAAUUUAUGGUGUCCCAAGUCACCGGUUCAAAUCCCGAAUCGAGGAAAGAUUGACUCUGUUUUACAGUCUGCGAACACAGAAAUCCGGGUAAGGAAUUCUGUUAACUCGGGAGAAGGUGUUAGGCAUUCCCAAGUUCCGUGGCUUUAGCACAGUCGUUCAACUGUUAUUAUUGGCCUAUUUAUGUGAUAUUAAAACAUCUUUGAAACCUAUGUGCAUUUUUAUUCCUUCUGAACCGCUUUUCAUAAUCCAAAUGUUAUACAACUAAUUACUUGAUCACACGUCGCAAUUCGUGUCACGGGAACCGUACCCACGAUCCACAACAUGUUUAUUUUAGUAACAAGAUUAAUUUGUGGCUGGGUCACAUAAAUGUACUCCCGGAUUUGAGAGUUUAGGGUCACAACUACAUCACGGGAACCGUACCCGUAGCUAUGACAAUUAUUUAAUUAACGCGCCUAAAGCAAACUACGAAAGUUCAAAGCUUUUUUUACACUAGUUAAGAUAAUUAAUAUGAGGGCCAUAGAUUAUGGAUUUUGUUUGAAUAUGGCGCACCUCAAUUUGUUUAAAAAAAAUUUAUAUUUCGCUAAGGCAAACCAAAAAUACUCCUACUUAUAUCUAAUUUAAAAAAAUACUAAGUAUCAAAACCACGUCACGGGAACCGUACCCGUAGUUAUAACAAUUUAAUUACGUGCCUAAAGCAAACUACAGAUGUUCAUCAAUUGUUCUUAAAACUAAUUUGAGAUUACGCGUGAAAGACCUAUGAUUAUGGACAUCCAAUUGUAAAACGGAGUGUAAAAUUUAACUAAAGAGAAUUAACACCAGUCUUGUUCGAACAACAUGCAAUAAAAUAUACAUCACUUGAAUCGGCAUCAAAUAGCCAACACAAAGAAACAAUGGACAUAACAGUGAAUGUGCAAAACAAAGGUAAGCGAAUCCAUAGACAACUCUCGUUCUUUUCUUUUAAUUAAAUCCAUAACUUCUAACUCCCAAUAAAUUAGAAGACAAGUUAACUAAAUCCCCAUAGCCAACUCUCAUUCUUUCCUUUUAAUUAAUUCCCUAAGUGCUUAAUUCCAUCUAAGACGAAGAUAAGCAAAACCAUUUAUUUAAUAGCCAAAUUCAUUCAAGGCUUCAAUCUUGCCUUAAUAAUGGAGGAUGGAUUAAUUUAGCAUCAAAUAUAAGAAAAUAAUGGCAAGUACCUUAGCCCCCACUGAUUCUUAUUACCAAACUUUCAAUGUACUGUGACCCAGAAUUACUCAACCAAGUCAAGAAACAUCAAUCAAGUCUUCAUUAUCUUAAAAUUCUACAAGCAAACAGUUAGAAUCGAAAACCAUUAAAAAACUUCUUCCUUUGGUUUACUAAUUCAAAGCCAACCCUAUAACUACCAAUAAAGGGUUUUCCAAUCUUAAUACCCGGUAAUUUUCAAAAAAAAAAUAUGAAAUGAACAUAAUUCAAGUACCUAUAAAUCAAUUUCUUCUAUUACUCCAUCUCCUUCACUAAAAGAAGAUGGAUUAUCAAACAAUUUGAGAAAUUAUCAGACCAUCAUUGCAAUUACAGAAGAAAACACCCAUUUUUGGUUUCCACAAUAAGAUUCCACAGACUCACAUUAACACAUUAGAGCCUAUUUGAACAAAUUGAGCCUACAUGUUCAAUACUCAAUUUUAAGAGCAUACCUCAAAUAGUGAAACAGAUUCAUCACAACUUUCUCGCUUAGAUGUUCUUUUGGCUGAUCUUUUCUCUUUUGUUUUGGUUUUGGGCACUCAGUCGUCAAUCUAGCGACUCUACCGCCCAGCAAGCAACUGAACUCGCUAAUCAGAGACUAAGACGGACACGAGCUCAGUCGUGCCAUAAGGAAAAGACAAAGGAAGAAGAUGAAAUCAGGUCAAAUUUACACUCAUUUGAACACUACCAAACUAAUAGUAGAAGUUGAAGAAGAAGCGGACAACCAAAAUAAAUAAAAAAACUAAAGUGAUAAGAGAUCAACAAACACACAAAUUACAUGAAAAAAUAGAAAAGGAAUAAGGGAAAGACCCUGUUAAUUCGGAAUUCUUUCACUAAUAACUAAAAAUUUCAAUGUUUUGCUUCAUAAUCCCACUGAGACAGUAACAAUAUCAAGUAAAAAUUGCAAACCAAAAUCCAAAUCGCGAAAACAAUAACACGGACGGAACUCAACCAACACCGGAAUUCCAAUCCCAAACGCAAACUCCAAUAUAGACUUUAAUCCAACUCCAUUCUUGAGAACCAGAACUCGAAAAAUGCUGAAUUUUUUUAUUUUUAUUUUUUUUUAUUGCUUUUGAAAUGAAGUAAAGCUAAAACAAAAUCAAUCAAAAUCAAACUUGAUUUUUCCUUUCCUCUUCAGAUUCUUUUUUUUCUGUAUCCCUAAAAAUCAGAAGAAGAAAAAUAUUCGAAAAUCAAAAGUAAGACUUUAUAUUUUUUCUUUUCUCUCCAAAAAAAUUUUUGACCCCUAAAGAAAAUUCUAUUCCCUCUUUUUAUAUCUCUUACCUCCAGAUUCCUCCUCUCUCUUCAAAAAAAUGGAUAAGGCCGUUCUGAAAACGAGCACACGAUGAAUGUGAGGCUCGGAUUGAACGAGAUCGAUUUGACGCCUCUCACUCAUCCAACACACGUCUUCUAGAGCCUUCUAAUCGCAUGAAAUAGCUUGUAGACAAGCGAGUGAGGGAGUGUUAUUGUCGAUUUGGAAUAUUCUUCUGUCAGAGACCGUUGGGGUUUGGUGAUGUAGAACAGGGAUUGAGACGGGGUGGACAUGUGCGGAUUUUAGAGGUGAACUCACGUGAAACUCGAACGAGUUUGGGAGAGUUUGGGUGAGGCAUACUCGGAGCUGGUGUGGGAUGC
This 12525-nucleotide long non-coding RNA is filed under the name Nicotiana tabacum (common tobacco). Its description in RNAcentral is "long non-coding RNA (NTAB_LNC008112)". The record is from RNAcentral. Lineage: Eukaryota; Viridiplantae; Streptophyta; Magnoliopsida; Solanales; Solanaceae.